This 334-nucleotide long non-coding RNA is filed under the name Homo sapiens (human). RNAcentral describes it as "non-protein coding lnc-PPA2-4:2". The record is from RNAcentral. Lineage: Eukaryota; Metazoa; Chordata; Mammalia; Primates; Hominidae.
CAAAAAAUUGAGGAAGACAUAAUUAGCAGCUGAAGAAUGACUCAGAUCAUCAGUAGUGAAUAAGAAUGAUUAGGGGGAAAUAGAGACAGUUUAAUCAGUCCGUGACCAAAAUCAAACAGAGUAAACUGUGUCAUCAUGGAGAUCUGCCCAGGAAAUCCCCAAAAUACAGAAGGGUAUGGGCAAAAAACUCGAGGACUGUAUUUGUGACUAAUUGUGUAACAGGGUAUUUUAGUUCCUGUUCUGUGGAAAGUGUAAAGCAUUCCAACAAAGGGUUUUAAUGUAGAUUUUUUUUUGCACCCAUGCUUUGAUUGCUAAAUGUAAUAGUCAGAUCGUG